Peromyscus leucopus (white-footed mouse) is the source of this 403-nucleotide long non-coding RNA. RefSeq lists it as uncharacterized. The transcript has 3 exons. The record is from RefSeq and is a predicted model, not a curated record. NCBI's taxonomy places the organism in Eukaryota, Metazoa, Chordata, Mammalia, Rodentia, Cricetidae.
CUCCGGGUUGUACGGGUCAUAGCCAAGCCCUGGGAGGGAAGGGAACACGGACAGCCCCUGAGCCGGCCUGCCAGAGACGGGCAAGCUGUGUGAAGCUGACAGCCUGAAAUACAAGAUCUGCCAUGAAAGAUGCAGCACAGUGGGGGGCACCUGCAGGGGAGUUCACAUCUGCAGACUGAAGGACAAAAGAGAUGCUCACAGGAAGCCUCUCGCUGCCUAGAAGGGCAGGAACUUGGGGACAAGAACUCAGCACAGGCUGGGAACUGGCCAGAGCCCACUGACUUGUGGAAGGGAUUGGGGGAGACUGGGAAACAGAGGCAGCGGACCAGCCCCACGGGAGGCUGAGGCAGAAGGAUCAGAAGUUCAAGGUCAGCUUAGGCCAGCAAGGCCCGAUCUCAAAAGA